CGCGGCCUAUCAGCUUGUUGGUGAGGUAAUGGCUCACCAAGGGGUCGACGGGUAGCCGGCCUGAGAGGGUGACCGGCCACACUGGGACUGAGACACGGCCCAGACUCCUACGGGAGGCAGCAGUGGGGAAUAUUGCACAAUGGGCGGAAGCCUGAUGCAGCAACGCCACGUGAGGGAUGACGGCCUUCGGGUUGUAAACCUCUUUUAGCAGGGAAGAAGCGAGAGUGACGGUACCUGCAGAAAAAGCACCGGCUAACUACGUGCCAGCAGCCGCGGUAAUACGUACGGUGCAAGCGUUAUCCGGAAUUAUUGGGCGUAAAGAGCUCGUAGGCGGUCUGUCGCGUCUGCUGUGAAAUUCCGAGGCUCAACCUCGGGCUUGCAGUGGGUACGGGCAGACUAGAGUGCGGUAGGGGAGAUUGGAAUUCCUGGUGUAUCGGUGGAAUGCGCAGAUAUCAGGAGGAACGCCGAUGGCGAAGGCAGAUCUCUGGGCCGUAACUGACGCUGAGGAGCGAGAGGGUGGGGAGCAAACAGGCUUAGAUACCCUGGUAGUCCACCCCGUAAACGUUGGGAACUAGUUGUGGGGUCCUUUCCACGGAUUCCGUGACGCAGCUAACGCAUUAAGUUCCCCGCCUGGGGAGUACGG
This 643-nucleotide ribosomal RNA is filed under the name uncultured bacterium. RNAcentral describes it as "bacterial SSU rRNA". It matches the Rfam family "Bacterial small subunit ribosomal RNA", at positions 232 to 885 of the family's 1533-position model. The record is from RNAcentral.